GGUGAGUGUGUGUGGCUGCUACCUGCACCUGGGGGAGAGGCGGGCACGCGUCUUGGUGAGCGAGGCCACCACCUGAGGCUGCCAGACGCCCAGCCGAGUGCCAGGUGCCGGCGACAGGUAAGUGUGAGCGCGUCCACCACCUGCCUCGCUGCAAAAACUGGUGACUGAAAGUAAAGAAGCGGGGACGGGCGGUCUUUUCAUCCCUUCGUCUACCGCCGCAAAAAGAAUGAAUUUCCACCAGGCCAGAACAAGCAACCAGGACAGAACAAGAAAUAACGGGUUCAAGCUUGAAAAAUUUAGGUUUAAGAAAGAGAUAGGAAGAAAUUGAUUCUCAAAUAGAGUGGUAGAUGAAUGGAACGGACUCAGUAAUCAAGUUGUUAGUGCUAAGACAUUAGGGAGCUUUAAGAGAAGAUUAGACGGGUUUAUGGAUGGGGAUGAUAGGUGGAAAUAGGUAGGUAUAUUUCAUAAGGGGACUGCCACGUGUAAGCCUGGUCGCUUCUUGCAGCUUCCCUUAUUUCUUAUGUUCUUAUGUUCUUAUGUUCCACCGCCAUAAAAAAAUUAAAUUAUACAAGAUUUAUCAUCUACAGGUUUGCUAUGACAAUGCAGUAUAUUAAACUAAAUUGAUACUCACCACAACAUAAUAGAUUAGAAAUGAACGUAUACAACAGCAGAUUUAAAUGGAAAACGUUACUGUCAUACUAUUGAUAAUCUUUACAGUCUUCUUAGGACAUUUAAUUUAAAGUGAUUAGUGUAUUAACCAGCGACACACCCGGGUACAUUGAAUUUUACUUACCAAUUGCAUAUUUAGACAAACUUUUAAUCAUAGAUAUUGAAUAACCUAACAUCACCUCACUUACGAAUCAUAAUGUCCCACGUAAGAGAGAGAAAAUAAUUAUUCCUAUCAAGUGUGAGAAUUUGAAGUAUCAGCCGGUUCUCUUAGGCUUAGAUCCCCCCACGUUAGUAUUGCAACGCUGCCUCAACCACAUAAUCUGAUACCUGUAUAGAGUUGGAAGCCAGGCGCUGCACUGUAUACUGAGAAGCGAAGAGGUCUUGCCGCUGAGUUGUGUUGAGAUAAGAAUGCUUCCGGGGUCUUGUGCGCAAAAGUUCCCCGCUGUGAACCCGAGCAUCUUGUGGCGGCGUUUUUGCUUGCUGUGAUGGUAGAGAGGAUGGGGGUGAACUGCAAGCUGACGGGAUGGAGGGAGAAGAUGUGGAUGGAAUGAAAGAGUGAAAGACGUUUGAAGAGGAAAGAUUAAAAAAGUAAACUGAUAAAUGAAAUUGGAAGGAAAGAGUGCUAGGAGGAGAAGGAGGAGGAGAAAUGAAAAAGUAGAAGUAGACGGAAGAAACGGUAGAGAAAAGUAAAUAAAAAGCAAAAAGGAGAAUAAAAGGAAGAAGGUGGAGAACAGGAAUCAGGAGGGAUGAAGGAAGGAAAGGUGGGAGCAGGAGCUGGCAUGCAAAGAGAAGAUUAUAGGCAGAAAAACGGAGGCGGCAGAGAGGCAAAGGGAAGCAAAAGGGAUAGAGGAAGGAGAGACGGACGGAAGGGAGGGAUGAAAGGCAGAAAAAUAGAGAACGAGGAGCAAAAGAAGGAAGAAGGAAAAGAGGAAAGAGGAGGGGAGGAAGUGGGAAUGCUGUAGGUAGAAAGAGAGGAGUGUAGAGAGCCAUGUAGCUGCCUCCUGGACUCUGCCUGCUGCUGGGGUGAAAAUGGAAAGGAAGGAGAGGCGGAGAGGCUGAUGCGAGGACAUGUGGUGAGAGAGAAGGAGGGUGGCGUCAGUACUGCCCAAAAGUGAGGGAGUUUGUACCACCGGCAGUGAAUCAGUUGUGGUAGUUUCAAAUGUUUCUGGCUGAUUUAUUUAUUUAUUAUUUUUUUCCCUUCUUUUUUUUCUGUCUGUCUGUCUGUCUGUCUGUCUGGUUGAAUGUAUAUAUGUGUGUAGGUAUAUAUAUUUUUUUGGUAUUUGGUUUCUUAUAUCUUAUUGUGAAUUACUUUUUUUUUUUGUUAUAGUUAGUUUGUAUGUAUAAUGUACGCAUGUGUAUGCAUCUUGUAUCUUAUAUUCGUUUGUAUUUCAUGUAUUGUGUAUCGUUAAUAUUCUAAAAAUGAAUUGAGUAACUGUCUGGCUAUCUGAUCUGUAUAUAUCUGUGUAUGCACAUAUAUUUGGCUGUAUCUUUCAGUCUGUAUGUAUGAAUAAACACUUGAAUUAAUGAGCAUGCGUGUA
This is a long non-coding RNA of Scylla paramamosain (green mud crab), 2207 nucleotides long. RefSeq lists it as uncharacterized. The record is from RefSeq and is a predicted model, not a curated record. The transcript has 3 exons. Lineage: Eukaryota; Metazoa; Arthropoda; Malacostraca; Decapoda; Portunidae.